This 471-nucleotide ribosomal RNA is filed under the name uncultured bacterium. RNAcentral's name for it is "partial 16S ribosomal RNA". It matches the Rfam family "Bacterial small subunit ribosomal RNA", at positions 355 to 841 of the family's 1533-position model. The record is from RNAcentral.
UGGGGAAUAUUGGACAAUGGGGGCAACCCUGAUCCAGCAAUGCCGCGUGUGUGAAGAAGGUCUUCGGAUUGUAAAGCACUUUCGACGGGGACGAUGAUGACGGUACCCGUAGAAGAAGCCCCGGCUAACUUCGUGCCAGCAGCCGCGGUAAUACGAAGGGGGCUAGCGUUGCUCGGAAUGACUGGGCGUAAAGGGCGUGUAGGCGGUUUACACAGUCAGAUGUGAAAUCCCCGGGCUUAACCUGGGAGCUGCAUUUGAUACGUGUAGACUAGAGUGUGAGAGAGGGUUUGUGGAAUUCCCAGUGUAGAGGUGAAAUUCGUAGAUAUUGGGAAGAACACCGGUGGCGAAGGCGGCAACCUGGCUCAUGACUGACGCUGAGGCGCGAAAGCGUGGGGAGCAAACAGGAUUAGAUACCCUGGUAGUCCACGCCUGUAAACGAUGUGUGCUAGAUGUUGGGUAACUUUGUUAUUC